AGAACGAACGCUGGCGGCAUGCCUAACACAUGCAAGUCGAACGAGACCUUCGGGUCUAGUGGCGCACGGGUGCGUAACGCGUGGGAAUCUGCCCUUCGGUUGGGAAUAACACAGAGAAAUUUGUGCUAAUACCUUAUAAUGUCUUCGGACCAAAGAUUUAUCGCCGGGGGAUGAGCCCGCGUAGGAUUAGCUAGUUGGUGGGGUAAUGGCCUACCAAGGCGACGAUCCUUAGCUGGUCUGAGAGGAUGAUCAGCCACACUGGGACUGAGACACGGCCCAGACUCCUACGGGAGGCAGCAGGUGGGGAAUAGUUGGACAAGUGGGACGAAAGCCUAGAUCCAGCAAUGCCGCGUGAGUGAGUAGAACGGCCGUUAAGGUUAGUAAAGUCUUCUUUAACCGAGGGAUGAAUAA
This 411-nucleotide ribosomal RNA is filed under the name uncultured soil bacterium. RNAcentral describes it as "bacterial SSU rRNA". It matches the Rfam family "Bacterial small subunit ribosomal RNA", at positions 26 to 452 of the family's 1533-position model. The record is from RNAcentral.